Molecule: ribosomal RNA, 81 nt
Filed under: Paenibacillus jamilae
Lineage: Bacteria; Bacillati; Bacillota; Bacilli; Caryophanales; Paenibacillaceae
Description: partial 23S ribosomal RNA
Rfam family: Bacterial large subunit ribosomal RNA
Source: RNAcentral
UACGAGGUAGAUAGGUUGGGGGUGGAAGUGCAGUAAUGCAUGGAGCUGACCAAUACUAAUCGGUCGAGGGCUUAUCCUAAA